Molecule: long non-coding RNA, 4109 nt
Organism: Perognathus longimembris pacificus (Pacific pocket mouse)
Lineage: Eukaryota; Metazoa; Chordata; Mammalia; Rodentia; Heteromyidae
Exons: 2
Source: RefSeq, a predicted model, not a curated record
UGUGUGUGUGUGUGUGUCAGAGUAGAAGAGGUAGGAGUCAAGAAGAGACUCAUGGAACACAGAGCCUUCCUUAAGACAGUGAGUGAAUGUAAACUGCCCUUUAUUGUUAUUGGCUAGACAGCAAAAGGACAGAGUUGGUUAUGGGAAGGUGGGAACCUCUCAGUCAACAUCUCUGUAGGAAACAGAUGACAUACUCAGACUGGGUCAUUUGAGGAGAACUUAAUAAAAAGGCUAUUAUAAAGAUAUGGGCAGGGUUUAAAGACAAUUAAUUAGUGGAGGUCCACUACAACAGGCCAUGCCUAGGCCCAAAAAGACAGAGAAAGGAAGAAGUGCUCAAAGCACAGAGAAAGGUGCUCAGUGGAGAGGGUGGCCCCAGUAGCCUAGUAAGAUUUAUAGUAGAUGCCUCUCUGUUAGCCAAUCCCAACCAGAAGCAAUAAAGCCAGGCACCCAAUUAAGGUAGACCAUGCAGGAUGCCAGCUUUCUUCUCAGACCCCUUCUCAACCUGAGUAUAAAGCAGAGUAAAAAGUAGCACAGGGAAAAAUGAAACCAAAGGAACAGAGACUAAAUUGGGCUGGAGAAAAUAAAGCCUUAAUUUUUCAAUCACCAUAUUCAUUUGCUCUCCCAAAAGUCUAAUAAAUAUCAGGAAAAUGCUCAGCAAUGUUGGAAGACCACUGUAGCUACAUAAACAUGCUUGGUGAAGUAGGGAAGUGAAAGAAGGAUGAAAAAGUCAGCCAGUAGGUCAAGAAAUGGAGAAGUGCAUGCAUUAAACAUAUUUCAAAAUAGUAAAAAGUGAGUAGAGGUGGAGAAAGACCCAAGUUUACAAAUCUGUUGAACUUGAAUGCCUAGCCAGGUUUUCAGAGACAAGCUAUAGAACACAGUAAAUACUAUUUUAAUGGGCACAGACUCAAACUUAAUGAAAGUAACUGGCUUCACAAUGCAAGAGAACUAUUUUCCAAUUUCAUAUCUCAUUCUCAUGCAGAACUCUCUGCUUGAUUCAGGCAAAACGUGCAUAAGCAUUCUCUAUGUGCUUUCUCUUUCAAUGGCUGCAAAAGAGAUAUGUGAUCCUAAUGGAAUAAUCUUCAUUCCAAAGCACUGGAUGGACUGUAGUUUUAUCCCUUUGGAUUGUCUGCCUCUCCUCCCAUUUACCUGUGAUAAACCUGUCACCAUCCACAAAUGGCUACUCUUUGAAAACUAUUUCUUCCACCAUCAGCUCUAGAAAUAACAAAUUUCCUACAUCAGGAAACACUUACUCUGUCUUGAUUAAGCUCCUUCCAGGGACCUUCAAGAUCUUGGAGUCCAGUCUUUCCAAAAGUGUUUGCUAAAGUCCUCUCAGGAACAAAAUGUGAAAAAGGACUCCAUGGGCAGACAAAUGGAAGAAAUGAGGUUUCCCUUAAUGAUAACCUUUUGAGAGUUCUUAAUAUCAAAUAUGCAUAUUGAAUGCAUUGGAGAAAAACAUGGGUUGCAGAGAUUUUAAAAUUUAUGUGGCAGAAAAAUCCCUUUUGCCACAGCACCUGGUAGGACAGGUGUUCAUUGUUGAACAAACCUUGGAAUCUCAAUUACAAGAAAAGAAACUGAGGAAGAAGAAGGAAACGUCUUUCUCAUGGCUCCGUGGCUAAAUGCAGCUUUCUCCUGGUUCUGGUAAAACUGUGAUUUAAGAUUGACCUUGUACAUUUGACUUAUAUUUGGGUGGUUGUAGACACAAAUAGUCUCACCUGCAUUUCAUCACAUGGGAGGACCCUCACUAUUUUAUUACCUCCUAACAUGGCAUCUGAUCUGACUAUCACCAUUUCCCUCCCUAUUUUAACUGCACUUCUUAGAACCAUUGCCAAUCCUGAGUUAUCUAUCUUGGAGAGGAAGGCCAGGAACAGCAUGUACACUCCACAUGGGAACACAGGAUGGCUUUCUAUGUAUUUCCAGUCUGGUGUGCCGUAUAUUUCCCAGGACCAUAGCUUCUCACUGGCUUCUGGCCUGCAAUCCCAGAGCCCACUGUGUUUCCUUAGGCUGUACUGAUAGCUCAGAGCAUAGCAUCUUCUAAGGGAAAGGCUUAUGCUUCCUUUCUUCUCCCUGGCUUAUGCUGGAGACCAUCUUAUCCUGCUUCGCAUCUCCCACAGUGUCCUCUGACUCCUCAAUGAUGAUGAGUUUUUAAAAGUCUUGUGCUUGCUUUGCUGAGUUAAUGUUCUCGAAGUUUCUUCCCUGAUUAUCCUAUGCUGACCUCAAAGAAAACCCAUUUGUCAUAUUUCUGCAGCCUUUGUAAGAUUUUCUUGAUGUUUACACUUGACAGAUAACUUUAGAAUGACUCUAAUUUUACAGUUACUCUCUUUAAAUUACUUAAAGUUAUUUCACAUGAACUGUUUUGUUGGGCCUUGUACAACUUCUCAAGAUGUGACAGAGAUUUAUGUCCAAUUAGAAGAUUGCUUUUAAGACAAAUAGCUUAUGUACACUAGCAAAGAUGCUGGCAACGAAAAGAAUCAUUUUGGACAAACAGGUUUGUGCUUUCAGAUGCAGACAUAUUGAGUUCUGUUCAAUGUCAAGGCUGACUGCAGAGUCCAGCUGCUCCUUACACUACAGAGCAAGGACAGGACAUUCUUGGCAGGAAUCCUUGUCCUCAUGGGCAAAUUGCCUUUAGACCUCCCAGUACCUGGCACAGUUCUGGGCUCACAGUAGAUGCUCAAUAAACAUGUUGAGGGGAACAUGGGAUUGAAUAAAGGAGUGAACAUGUGAACAAAGAAAUAAUUUGGAAAAUAAAUAUCAAAACAUAGUGUUGUUCUCAGCUCUUUAAAAAUACCUUUUUUUAGUUCUGUUUGCUCCUUUUCCCAUUCUUUGGGAUCCAGACCUUCUGACACAUGUCCUCUACUUCAAGGACACUCCUCCAAUAGCAAAUACAGCAGGAGUAAUCUAGCAAGCCAUGUCUUUUGAAUAAUGGAAAUUAAAAUGCCCUACAUCUCUUUUGAUUCAAGAAAAAUUAGUGCUAUCUAAACAGUAAUGGCAAACUCUGCAAAAAUGCCUUCAAGAAGCAAAUUUUCUAUAGAGUACCUUAAAAAACAUCCAGUAUAAAUGCUGGUCAAAAGAACUCAAUCUUCCAGGCUUCAUAUUUAACAUUUGGACUCUAUUUUACUCCCUAAAAAAGCUUUUUUAAAAGCUUUAAAAAAAAAGAUAGUGGAAUACUGUUUUCCAAUUCAUGGAACAAUUGUUACUAUUCUGUAUCUAUUUCUAUGAAGAUAUUGUUACAGGGCUGUGCUCACAAUAAAACCUUCAUCCUAAAUCUCUGUGCACCUUAUGAAUUUCACUCCAUCUUGGUGUUUUUUUUCCCCAAAGAAGUCACUCAGGUUCCUUUCAUAAUGCCAGUAAAUAGUGCUAGCCUUCCACAGCUGUAGAGGUUUAUGUCCUGAGAGAUUUUCAAUGUUACAACUCAUGCUUCCAAUCAAAACAGUGCCAGAGUUGACAUGAUUUACCAGGAAGAAGGACUUGAUUAGGGACCAGCACACUACCAAACAAGUAUUAAAUGACUACAAGGAGUUUUUAAUAUGCAAUACUCUCUCUGUUCACAACAACAACAAAAAAAGCCAGAAACAAUUUCCUGUGCUACAGUUAAGAGAAAUAGAAACUUAUUUUUAAGGUUCUUUUAGUGUGUUGUAGACAUUUCAGAGGCAGCUUUCACCUAAGAGAAGUGCUGGCUCCUUAAAUAACUCCAUCCUUUCAGCUCAAAUGGAAAACAGCUGUAUUUCUAGACUGUAAUAACAACAGGUAUCCAGGAGGUCGAGGCUGGGCUGAAGGACACCUUGCUGUGAAAUGCUUCAAGUUUCUUUCUCUAGGUUACAAGUUUGGUCUGCAGUGAAUUGUCAGUGACAACCUGUGGCUUGGAAUUUAAUUCCUUGAUGCAUUCAUAACAUUGUUAUUUCUUCCUCUCUAGAGGUAUAAUAAGCACAUGCUAUCCUAUAAAUUAGAGGCUGAAAUGCACACUGAUUUGAGAGUAAAGGAUGCUGGGAAGAUAAAUCUAGGGGUUUUCCACUGAGAAAAGGUUUUAAACUUUUUUAAAAAAACAAUGAUUUAACUUGUCAUUGAGGUAAUUUGAGAGGCUCCCAUCCUCCACUCAAUACCCACAAAUUUCC